RNAcentral lists this ribosomal RNA (355 nucleotides) under uncultured bacterium. Its description in RNAcentral is "bacterial SSU rRNA". It matches the Rfam family "Bacterial small subunit ribosomal RNA", at positions 8 to 350 of the family's 1533-position model. The record is from RNAcentral.
AGAGUUUGAUCCUGGCUCAGGAUGAACGCUAGCUACAGGCUUAACACAUGCAAGUCGAGGGGAAACGACAUCGAAAGCUUGCUUUUGAUGGGCGUCGACCGGCGCACGGGUGAGUAACGCGUAUCCAACCUGCCCACCACUUGGGGAUAACCUUGCGAAAGUAAGACUAAUACCCAAUGACGUCUCUAGAAGACAUCUGAAGGAGAUUAAAGAUUUAUCGGUGAUGGAUGGGGAUGCGUCUGAUUAGCUUGUUGGCGGGGUAACGGCCCACCAAGGCGACGAUCAGUAGGGGUUCUGAGAGGAAGGUCCCCCACAUUGGAACUAGAGACACGGUCCAAACGUCCUACGGGAGGCA